Molecule: long non-coding RNA, 8863 nt
Filed under: Setaria italica (foxtail millet)
Lineage: Eukaryota; Viridiplantae; Streptophyta; Magnoliopsida; Poales; Poaceae
Description: long non-coding RNA (SITA_LNC004761)
Source: RNAcentral
CCAUUGACAAUGAAGUCGUGGAGGAAAUUGAACCAACCGUCGCGUCGCGGGCCGGGGUGGGAGCCCACUGGCCCAGUGGCCAGCCAGGCAACCACCUUGCCCAGUGCGGCACCGGCUCGCCGCCACCACGAUCUGCCCCGGCGGCCUCACCGCCAUUCCUGCCGCUGGCGACGACCGCAGCAAGCAGUUUCUUCUCAACCAACCAACCCGCCCGGCACGCCCCCGCGCUUCGCCGUCGCAACGUAAGCUUCCCAGAUCCCUUUCGUUUCCGUCUGGACCGAGCUAGGCCACACUUCUACUCGUCCACAUUCUCUUCUCGGUUCCCACAUACUUUUCAAGUCAAACGAUUACAAAUCGGUUUAACCAACUCCGAUCAGCGAUCACAGCCGGAUUGUGCAAUCCCUGGAUGGCCGGAUCCACGAGCUUGCUAAAUAUGGGCACAUCCCCUCCUUUUCGCCCGCACGCGAGGCGUGGACCACCGGCGGAUCAAGCGUUCUUAAAACCCCGCAGUCCAGGAGCAACGCAACAAGCGGAAGAUGACAAGGGGAGUUGUUCGGCGGGAUGGGAGUUACUCGGCCGCGCGCCCGCCGCAUGUGCUGCUGCUGGUGGUUUUGUUCGGAGCGCGCUCUAGGUGUUCGAUGUAAUGGGUCGGAAGGUUAAUUAGCCGGCUGUUUGCGUCCUGAAGAUCCCGCGUCAGCGUCAGGAAUUCGAUGGAUAGUAAUCGACGCGGAAUCGUGGAAUUACGAAUCGGUGUGUGCGGUGUGGGUGUUGUUUAGCUCAUUAGGUGGGAUGUGGCUUUCAGAGAUUCCUGGUGUCGCCUUGGGGAAUAUUCAUGCUCCGUGGUGAUGGCUUAGUUCAGGUUUCGUGUAGUUGUUGUUCUCUUCAGGAGGGUUACCACCUGUUACACCAUCGAUCAAAAGUGUAAUUGAUUGUAGGUGCAUUGCAGUUCCACUAGACAGGUUAAUUUGCUUCAGAGUGCUCCUGAUGGAAAUAGUAUGGUCGGUGACUCGGUGAUCAAAAGUCUAGUUGUCUCAUGUUACAUUUGCAGUAAUUAGCUUUUUGACUGUUGUGUUUGGCGACAGGUUGUCGAAAAUGGGUAGAACAGUGGUUCCUGUGUGGUGGUCCUCUAGUGCAGUGCAGAUCAGCCAAUCCAAAGUUGCACUAGAUUAAGAAUCCACUUUUGUCCUAAAGGAUAAGGAGCCUUUCUGGAAGUGACAAGUGCUUAGAACUUUGACAGAGUAGUUGUUGUUAGAUCGGGUGGAGCUUUCAGUAUGCACUUGGACAAGUCCUUUUAGAAGUAUGUCCAGCCUUUAGAUUUAGCAUUUGGAUCGGUUUCCAUAUGAAAAGGUCUGUCCACUUGUUGUCAUCACAUUCCUAUGUAUGUGCGCAUGCUUAUUGUUUGAUGAUGCUACUCUUUCUGAACAUGGCUCCAAGGAUUCACAUUCUCUAUGGUUGCCUUGUACAUUUAAGGUUGCCUUAGUUAUACAGAGGUUUAGUGCUGCAUCUGGCCUGGGCUAGGAUUAAAGCUGUUCUCCUUGGCAUGUAUCAUCAAUUUGCCAGUGAUAUACUAUCACUACCAAGAUAAGGUUGCUGUGCUGUAAUGCACCUGCACUUCAUUUCUUAAGGCGAGAUACCUAAUUCGAACCCACUCUUCGAAUAGCAUUCAUUAGUCUUAAUUUGCUUCCAAGAUCUGAUACAUUACAUACACACUUAAUUUUUUUCCAAGAAUCCUAUGUGAAGGGAAAUUCAUUAGUCUUAAUUUGCUUCCAAGAUCUGAUACAUUACAUACACACUUAAUUUUUUCCAAGAAUCCAAUGUGAAGGGAAAUAAAGUUUGAUAGUAAUAUAUUCAAAUUUGUUUUUCAGGAAAAUGAAGUAUCUUCCGCUUUAUUGGAUACCAAGCAAAGGAUGCUAAAAAAUGUUAGCGUCAUCUAAAGAUGGGUACAGACUCUAUUUAAGAGUGUCGUAUCACCUUAUGUUGUCUACUGCCCAAUAGCCUAUCUUUAUCUAUGAACUUUAUCAUACCAUUAUUUUAGCUAAAUUCAAUAAGGUGGGAUCUAGAUUCUAGUUUACUACGUGCUCCCAGAUGAUAGAUACAAACUGUGCGAUCCAUGUCCACGACACACUGUCUUUGAUCUCUAGAUCGCUUCAGGCUUGCACAAUCAGGUAUAAUGUGGGACCUUGGCCUAUAGCUCAAAUGCUCAAUCGCUUAUCUUCACGCAGGGCAUAUUCAAAUUCCAACUUCUGCAUGGUUUUGUAUCAGGAUAUUUGCUCUGUAACACUGGAACCUCUGCAGUUUAGCAACCUGGCAUCUUUGGAAGAAAGAUGUUAUAUAUUCACAUCUGAGAAGACAGUGAAGUGUCAUUCUGGAAUUUGUUACUAUCCUGAUUGCCCAUGAUAGGAUGGCCGGUGAUUAAAAGUUUCUUUCUCUCCUUUCUAACAUUUGCAGUAAGUAGCCAUUUGAUUGUUAUGUUUGGGGACAGGUUGUUGAAUUUGGGUAGAACACUGUUCCUUUCUGGUGGUCUUUUGUGCAAUGCAAGCCUUCCAUCCUAAAGUUACACUAGAUUAAGAAUCUACUUUGACCUAAACUAUAAGAAGCCUUUCUGUAAGUGACAAGGGCUUUUGUUAUUUAUUAGCAGUUAGAACUUUGACGGAGUAGGUGUUAGAUCAGAUGGAGUUUUCAGUUGUCAUUUGGACAAAAGCUGAUAGGUCCUUUUAAAACUUGGAAGUAUCCCCAGGCCUUAGACCUAGCGUUUGGAUCUAUUUUUAUAUGAAAAGGUCAGUUAACUUGUUUUCGUCAUGUUCCUAUGUAGCAUGUAUGUGUACAUGCUUUUUUUUUAAUGAUGGUAUUCUUUCUGAAGAUGGCUGGAUUGAUUUCCUAUGGUUGCGCUGUACAUUUAAAAUUGCCCUAAUUAGAAGUUUGUUCCUUUCAAAAGUUUAGUUCUACGUCAGUUUAGAAACUUGGUCUGGGCUAAGGUUAUUGUGCUGUAAACUGUAAUGCACACACGCUUCUUCUCUUAAGGUGACAUUACUAUAAGGUAAUAGAUAGAUUAUGGGCUAACCCUAGAGGGUAGCUAUGUAGAUGUCUUACAUGGGCCUAUUGGGUCCUAAUACACAUAGUACACCAACACUCCCCCGCAGUCUGAACUACCGACGCAGCGGAGUUGCAGACUGGACAUGAAAAGAAAGGCACACACACAGCCCCCCCAAGACGCAACUAGCCACAGGUGAUGUUGAGGCUGGAGCGAAACUCGGUGAAGGCGGGUGACGAGAGGCCCUUGGUGAAGAUGUCAGCAAACUGAGAGGUGGUCGGGACGUGGAGGACCCGAACAUCGCCGAUGGCGACCCGAUCCCGGACGAAGUGAAGGUCAAUCUCCACAUGCUUGGUCCGCUGGUGCUGAACAGGGUUGGUGGAGAGGUACACCGCACUGACGUUGUCGCAGUAGACAAGAGUGCUCCGGGAAGAAGGAGUGUGGAGCUCGACAAGGAGCUGCCGAAGCCAGGAUGCCUCAGCCACGCCGUUAGCGACAGCGCGGUACUCCGCCUCGGCACUGGAGCGGGAGACCACCGGCUGACGCUUGGACGACCAGGACACCAGGUUGCCGCCCAAAAAGACGGCGUAGCCGGAGGUAGAGCGCCUAGUGUCCGGACACCCGGCCCAGUCAGCGUCGGUGUAGACAACAAGCUCAGUGGAGGGAGACCGGUGAAGAAGGAGGCCGUAGUCCACAGUGCCCCGGAGGUAACGGAGUAAGCGCUUCAGAGCAGUGAGAUGGGGCUCUCGGGGAUCAUGCAUGUGAAGGCAAAUCUGCUGAACUGCAUAAGUGAUAUCUGGCCUGGUGAAGGUGAGGUACUGAAGGGCCCCAGCCAGACUCCGGUAUGCAGUAGCAUCUGUCACAGGAGUGCCGGCGGCCUCUGACAACUUGGCCUGAGUAUCAACUGGAGUGGAGCAGGGCUUGCAGUCAGUCAUCCCAGCUCGCUCCAGGAUAUCAAGAGUAUACUGCCGCUGGUGAAGAAAGAGGCCGGCCUGACGAGGCUCAACAGUGACCCCAAGAAAAUGAUGGAGCACACCCAGAUCCUUCAUAGCGAACUCCUGCUGAAGCGAGGUGAUGAUCCGCCGUAGGAGGGACGGACUGGAGGCAGUGAGGACAAUGUCAUCAACAUAGAGCAGUAGAUAAGCAGUCUCAGCUCCAUGGUGAUAAAUGAACAGCGAAGUAUCGGACUUGGCCUCCACAAAGCCCAGCGUCAGGAGGUAGGCAGCAAACCUCGAAUACCAAGCUCGAGGGCCUGCUUGAGCCNNNNNNNNNNNNNNNNNNNNNNNNNNNNNNNNNNNNNNNNNNNNNNNNNNNNNNNNNNNNNNNNNNNNNNNNNNNNNNNNNNNNNNNNNNNNNNNNNNNNCUAAGAGUGUGCACAUCACCAUAUUUUGUCUACUGUCCAAUAGCCUAUCUUUACCUAUGAACUUCAUUCACAACAUUAGUUUAGCUAUGUUCAGUAAGGUGAGAUCUAAACUCGGAAGUCCACUGCAUGCUUCCAAAAUAGGGUAAUCUAUGUCCAUGCAUCCAUGGGACCUUGGCCUGUAGAUCAGCGGUUCAUCCUAAUAAAGAACAUGUUCAAAUCCCCAGCAGUACAUAUUUUUUUCUAGAACUAGUAGUACAUAAUUAUUUUUACCAGGAUAUUUCCUCUGUAACACUGGAAAUUCUGCUGUUUAUGAAACUGGUAUCUUUGAAAUACACAGGUUUGUUACCAUAAUUGUAAAGUGCCAUCCUUACAUAUGCAUGUUAACACAAGGGUGGAAUACAAUGUUAAGUAAACUGCUUUGUACUUGAGUGUUUGACUGUUUGUGUUGUUUGAUGUGCUGUGUAUUCUGUACGUAUGCACUGGGCCACUCGGGAGCCUUUUUUUCCUGCAUUUGCAUUCAUGUCACAAGUGCACACAAAGUAUUGUGUUAGAUUAGAUCACAUGAUGUUUUCAGUAUGUACUUGGACAAAAGCUCAUAGGUCCUUUUGGAAGUAUCCGAAGCCUUUUGAUUUAUGAUCAGGUUAGAUUUUCAUACGAAAAGUUCGGUCCACUUGUUUUGAUCACAUUGCCAUGUGUGUCCACACAUUCUUUGAAGAUACCAUAUUUGAACAUGGAUGGAAGAAUUUGCUGCAGUUUUGUGGUACAUUUAGGAAUUAGGAUUGCCUUAGACAGGGCCUUGUUCUGUAGAAAGGACAGUCUGUAUCAGGUUAAAAAUUUAGGCUAAGAUAAAGCUGUUCUUGACAUGCAUCAAUUGAUUGCCAGUGAUGUUAGUAAACUACAAAGACAAAGUCAGUGCGUGGUAAUGUGCAUGCACUUCUGUUCUUAAAGUGAGACUUAUGUUUUUAAUGUACUCAUUGAAUAUCAUUGGUAUUAAUUUGCUUCCAUUAUCUGAUAUUUGCAAGGUGUAACCAACUUUGUUUUGUAAGUCCACUGCAUGCUUCUAGAUGGUAGACAGGAAUUAAGGAAUUAAAGAAGCAAGUAGACUUGUUAUCUUUGGAAUAAAUAUGCAUCAUGUUCACAUUAUCUUAAAGUGUCAUCUUAAAUUUAUGUGUUAACACAAGGUAGGAAUUCUAUGUUAACAAAACUGCCUUGGACCGGAAGUCAGGAAUUUUGUUAGCUGCAAUCUUGUAUAGCAGAGUGCUUGUGUCGUUUAAUGUACGCGUCAUGUUGAGGUUAGAUUUGGCUGCUGAGCCUGUUCUUUUUGCAGUUUACACUGAUGUAUUAAGUGUGCACAAAUAAUCAUGUGCCAGUUGGCCUCUAGGUGAAAGUUUUCAAUGGUACUUAACAUCUGAACCUGAUUUGUAAGACCUCUAUCUAACUUCAUGCUAUUAACCUGUCGUAGCUCUUUGAAAAGUGGUAGUUUACCUACAAAGAACAAUUUAGCCUAUGUAAAAAUCAAUUGCAGUUGUCUAAAAAGUUAUAAUGGCUAAUAAGUACUAGUCUGGUGUACCAUGUGACAGCCUAAUCUGUUAACUGCAAAUCUCCAUGCAACCAGUCCUGGUAGCAAGAUGGAAACAGUUAAGUGGGCCAAGUCCAAUAGGCCGACAGAUUCUACUGAUCAAUUCAGCCCACUAGAUGAUCCUACAAGCUUGCAAGUGUCUGCCACCUAAAGAAUUCUGGUUCUCACUUCAUGCCUGAGGAGAACAUCUGUUUUCUCAUGGAACCUUCUGAUCCAUUUGGCAAUUCUUUCUUGCGAUCUGAAAAGAAACAAUUGUGGCUUCUUUCUCUCUGUUGGAUGUCUGGUGUUUUACUUCUUAAAUUCUGUGGCUGUACUCGAUGCAGGUCAAGCCUGUUGGUCCAAGUAAUAAUGUCAUUGUGGAACAUAAUUCUAACAAUUGAUCGACAAUAUUAAAGAUCUAAUAUAAUCCUGAUGAUAGAAAUUUCAGUGUGAACUGUAUCACUAUUGGUUGCAUCCAUGCGACUACAAGCAAGAUUUCAUGCUAAGAAGCUGGAUGCAUUGCGCAAUCAAUUUUUUUUCUCAGGUUAUAUCUGUGUUAGCACGCAUCGUGGCUUGAUAAAUGGCUGAUCUUUGAAAUGAUCUCUACAUUUUGCCUUUUGUUUGUUCUGAUAUGGUUCGCCGAUUUGUCCAUUUUACUGUGAUACAUAGACCAGGGCCUGUUUGGCCAGGCUUCGGUUAGCUCCAGCUCCUCCUGCAUGUGCACUGUAGCAGUAUUGUGUGUCAUUGUUGCAUGGAGCUAUUCUUCUUUCUCAGUUUCUCCUGGCCAAAAUGAAUUAGGAAAAGUUAGGAGCCGGUGAAGCCACAUUUUUGGGCUUCACGGGCUCCGGCUCUUGGGGUUCUACAGUAACGCUAGAUUAUUGAAGCUGGAGCACCAGCCAUACCAUAGAGGGGCCUAAUGGAAAGCAUACUAGCUGUGUAACGUACUGUCUUGUCUUAACCUUAUCAGUUUGAGCACCAUCUUAUUCUGAUUGCCAUUUAUGUCUGAAGGUAGUUGAUGGCCAUGCUUGGCUCACAACAAUUUUGUUGGACUGGUAAAGACUAAGUAAACCAUGGCGCAUUCGAUCAGGUAUGCAUCUCCUGAUUCCUUCCCUUCAUCUAAAUGGCAGGAUGGGCGUAUACUGUGAACUCUAUUUUUGGCCUUUUAAGUUUUCCCAAUUGGAAGGUCUGCCUCUGUAAAUUUAGAGAAAUUAAUGAACCCUAUCAAUCUAAAAAAUAGAACUUUUUUCAAAAUCACAUCAUGUAUCCAACCUUCUUGUAAUUAGGUGUGUAGAUUAAAUGUCAUUGGACUAGAUUGUUAAAUACAUAAUAUUAGUAUAUUACAUGCUAUUUCCUCUGCACGCUGAACUGGGAAGUGGACCCUAUCCCUUUUCUAGGAAAGUAUGUUGUAGGAAAAAUCCUCACGGAUAGAUGCUUGUGAGGUUGAAUGAUGUUGUUUUCCUCAGUCCUCAGCAUUGAUGUAUAUGUAAACAGUAAACCAAACUUCUUUCUUCUUGACAUCAAUUUAACAUAGCUCUAGUUUUGAUCUUGCAGAACUUGUAGAUGUAACCAUACUUAUUGUUAUCAAUUUCACAUAACUGUAAUUGUAGGUUCCUUGUCAUCAUUGUUUGAUUCGUGAUCCACUAAUUUACUGGUUCUAUAUUAUACACCAUAGUCACGUUAGCCUUAUUCUUCUGUGCACGAGAGAGUUCAUGCCACUAAUAGUGGACCUUGUGCCCUUAAUUGCCUCUAUAAUAAGCAUCUGCUAGCAUUUUGAUUGACCGCUACAAAGUACUGUGAUAUGCUAGCUUGAUUAAUGGAAAUUUUCAGCACUACUUGGCCAUGGCGCACACGCCACAAAGUAAUGCGAUACCCUGAACAGUUUGCCCACUUGCUAAAGUAAUCUGAUUGUCAAGUUGACAGUUUGUUUCUUUCCUACAAUCGACCAAUGCAAGCUGGGGAUGGAAUUCCUUUUGUUGCCAACUCCCAAGAAACUGAAUUUCAGCCGAUUUUUCUUUGCCACUACUAGCAUCCAUGAUCCAUGGCAUAGGAUUCGUGUUGUUCAGCAUCGUCUUUUUCAGCCGGCAGGAUAUGGGAGAAGGGGAUCAGCUGACUGUAUAGUAAGAGGCUGCUUGGUUGGUGGCCAUCGCCAACCAGUGGCGUGCCACAAUAUGUGGUGGCAAAAAUCUGCGCCGAAGGUUUGGUGGCCGUGGCGAGAAAAACAAUUGCAGUAUCAAUGGAGAGUUGUGGCGUGCCAAAAAUAAGUAAUCAAUCAAACACCUUCCUAAAUUAUUGUGACCGCCAAAGUUGUAGCGUGGAUAGUUGUGGUUGGAAACCAAACAUACCCUAAACGCUUGAAGAGGCACAGUUUCUCAAGAGGGCAAGUUGGUUUUACAGCAUUGCCUCACACAUGGUAUCCAUGGUUAUGCUUAAAAGUUACUAGUAUCGGAUUUAAACACUUGAAACUAUGCUGAAAUUGAUGGAUCCUGUAACAUCAUCGCCGGCAAGAAACAUGUAAUUUGACCCCUCUUCUUUUGGACAAAAUGUAAUUUGAAAUCUGAACACGAUAACUAGAAAACAUGUAACGGGGAAGUGGUCUUGCGACUUGCGUCGUGGUGGCCUGGUGGGCUGAUGGCCUCGUUCGUUCAUGCGCUUGUACUGCUGCGGCGGCGGCCAAAGUUGGCACACCCAAUUUUCCAGAUGAUCAUUGGUUAAUCGUGCUCUAGUCCGGUGCCUUACAGCAGAGGGCUAAAGACGCCACCGUCAGAGCCGCACUUACUACCGUUGCUACUGGCCUCUAAUGGUGGUCGUGGCACCCAAUUUGCAUCGGCAUCAUGUCAGUCGCCGAGAGAACAUUUUGUUUUGCGCGUGUGAGGGUAAUCACUUUUUAGGCAGGAUUUGAUUUGAAUCUUUC